GACGAACGCUGGCGGCGUGCUUAACACAUGCAAGUCGAACGGAAAGGCCCUGCUUUUGUGGGGCGCUCGAGUGGCGAACGGGUGAGUAACACGUGAGUAACCUGCCCUUGACUUUGGGAUAACUUCAGGAAACUGGGGCUAAUACCGGAUAGGAGCUCCUGCUGCAUGGUGGGGGUUGGAAAGUUUCGGCGGUUGGGGAUGGACUCGCGGCUUAUCCGCUUGUUGGUGGGGUAGGGGCUUACCAAGGCUUUGACGGGUAGCCGGCCUGAGCGGGUGACCGGCCACCUUGGGACUGAGAUACGGCCCAGACUCCUACGGGAGGCAGCAGUGGGGAAUAUUGCACAAUGGGCGGAAGCCUGAUGCAGCAACGCCGCGUGCGGGAUGACGGCCUUCGGGUUGUAAACCGCUUUCGCCUGUGACGAAGCGUGAGUGACGGUAAUGGGUAAAGAAGCACCGGCUAACUACGUG
This 468-nucleotide ribosomal RNA is filed under the name uncultured bacterium. RNAcentral's name for it is "partial 16S ribosomal RNA". It matches the Rfam family "Bacterial small subunit ribosomal RNA", at positions 28 to 507 of the family's 1533-position model. The record is from RNAcentral.